GAGUUCUGUAAUGUCGAAUAUUUUACACAUUCCUAGAAUCAUUGCUAUAAUCAUAUGGAUUUAUCUAGUAGAAGAGAUUGACGAUGGUAUGAAAUAUCAACUCGGUGUACAACAGCAAGGUUACUACUACGGCGACAACCAGAACACACUCACAAGAAAUUGGAAUGAAAUGAUAAUGACAUUACAAUGCUGUGGAGUAAAUUAUUAUUACGAAACUUUGUCCACUACAUAUGGAAAUAGAUUUUGUUGUACAAAUGCUCA
Long non-coding RNA from Mytilus trossulus (common blue mussel), 261 nucleotides. RefSeq lists it as uncharacterized. NCBI's taxonomy places the organism in Eukaryota, Metazoa, Mollusca, Bivalvia, Mytilida, Mytilidae. The transcript has 3 exons. The record is from RefSeq and is a predicted model, not a curated record.